UACGAAGGGGGCUAGCGUUGUUCGGAAUUACUGGGCGUAAAGCGUGCGCAGGCGGUCUUUCAAGUCAGUGGUGAAAGCCUGGAGCUCAACUCCAGAACUGCCAUUGAAACUGCAAGGCUUGAGUACGAGAGAGGUGAGUGGAAUUCCCAGUGUAGAGGUGAAAUUCGUAGAUAUUGGGAAGAACACCGGUGGCGAAGGCGGCUCACUGGCUCGUAACUGACGCUCAGGCGCGACAGCGUGGGGAUCAAACAGG
RNAcentral lists this ribosomal RNA (253 nucleotides) under uncultured bacterium. RNAcentral's name for it is "partial 16S ribosomal RNA". It matches the Rfam family "Bacterial small subunit ribosomal RNA", at positions 524 to 776 of the family's 1533-position model. The record is from RNAcentral.